AUUGAACGCUGGCGGCAGGCCUAACACAUGCAAGUCGAGCGGAUGAAGGGAGCUUGUGCCUGGAUUCAGCGGCGGACGGGUGAGUAAUGCCCAGGAAUCUGCCUGGCAGUGGGGGAUAACGUCAGGAAACGGGCGCUAAUACCGCAUACGUCCAGAGGGUGAAAGUGGGGGAUCUUUGGACCUCACGCGAUUAGCUGAGCCUAGGUCGGAUUAGCUAGUUGGUGGGGUAAAGGCCUACCAAGGCGACGAUCCGUAACUGGUCUGAGAGGAUGAUCGGUCACACUGGAACUGAGACACGGUCCAGACUCCUACGGGAGGCAGCAGUAGGGAAUAUUGGGCAAUGGGCGAAAGCCUGAUCCAGCCAUGCCGCGUGUGUGAAGAAGGUCUUCGGAUUGUAAAGCACUUUUAGUUGGGAGGAAGGGCAGUAAGUUAAUACCUUGCUGUUUUGACGUUACCAACAGAAUAAGCACCGGCUAACUUCGUG
This 484-nucleotide ribosomal RNA is filed under the name uncultured bacterium. RNAcentral describes it as "partial 16S ribosomal RNA". It matches the Rfam family "Bacterial small subunit ribosomal RNA", at positions 30 to 507 of the family's 1533-position model. The record is from RNAcentral.